Molecule: long non-coding RNA, 1347 nt
Filed under: Marmota monax (woodchuck)
Lineage: Eukaryota; Metazoa; Chordata; Mammalia; Rodentia; Sciuridae
Source: RNAcentral
UUUUAAAACUUCUCUGGUUUAUAUUUGUCACAUUAUUUAUUUGGCAUGAUCAUUUAUUACUGGUACACACAUAUAUUUUUCUACCCCAAAAUAUUAUUAAGAGGUUUAUAAAGGCAGGAGUGCUUUGUGUUCUUCACUCAAUGACCCAAUUAGUAUCAUUUAAUUACCCAGAUGAAUGAAUUGACGGGUUUCUGUAGAGAUUGUUUCAUUAAUAUCCCAGCAUGGACAUCAUGACUAUCAGAUUGUUCUUUAGUCCCUAAGUUUAGAGUCCUGUCUAUAUUAGUUAGAUCAGGCUACCAUAACAAAAAUACCAUAGACCACUUGGCCUAAGCAAGGGAAAUUUAUUUUCUUAUAGUUCUGGAGACAAGUCCCAGAUUUCUGGUAAGGGCUUUUUUCUUGGCUUGUGGAAGGCUACUUUGCCAUCAUAUGGCCUUUCCUCUGAGACAGCUUGGAGAGGGUCUAGAUUCCCCUACCCCCUUCCUUUAAGUACUGAAACCAGUAUUACAGCACCUUCAUGGCUGAAGAAAGGCCAGAUUCCAAUUAAAUAUGCCCAACUGUGACAUAGUGACAUUUUCAGCUUGAUCUGAUAAGAUGAUCAUGAUCUUGAUAUAGCAUAAAUGUGUGAGCCAUUUCAUGUGUAAUUCUUUAUAGACAGCUUGGUUCCUCACCGACGUCUCUUCUUGGAGUUGUACCUGAUUUUAUUACCAGUUUUUAUCAGAAUUCAUUGGGGGAUGAUUUUGCUUUUGUUUCUUGACCAAGAAUUGCUUGAUGCUGAAAGUCUUCUUAGAAUACACAGUGAGGAACAGAAUCAAGUACAUGCAUUGCAAAGUGGUUUCUCUUCCUAUAAGGGCAUUAAUCCCAUUAGUGCAGGGUUCUACUUUCAUGACCUCAUUUAACCUUAAUUGGCCCUUCUCCAAAUAUAACCACACUGGGGGUAAGGGUAUGAAUUUGGAUUGAGAGGACAUAAACAUUCAGCCCACAACAUUCAAUUUUCUAGAAAUUUAUGAUAUGGAUUUGACAACUGUUAAAGGAAAUUUGGAUUGUUCCUAGAGACAUUUAUAAAUUCCAAGAGAGAGGGAAGGAAUAAAUGCUAACUAAAUGAAUUAAUAAAAUAAACAAUGAUCUGCUAUCCUUUUAACUCUGACUAGAAACCAUUUCGAGAAUACUGUAUGCUUUGUUUUGGUUUCAUUUGGUGGAAGGAUGCAUAACCUGAAAUGGAUUGACUGGAUAUUGGAGCCCUUAGCUCUUUGUAGAAGAGAAUAAAAUGAGAACAAGAAAAAUUUCCCUAAUUAGUCAUUCUUUCAACAUGUACUUGCCGCAGUCUGGCUGGGCACAAUCAGGAGCCAC